CCUCAAACUUGGCCCAAAUAAGCUCUCCAGUUAGAUUAACUUUGCCUCAACUUCUUCCUUUUAUGUCAACAUACCUAAAGAGGCAGGAUUGAGAGUGACUCUCACUCACCACUGGUGUUUCUCUUUGAAAGUGGCACUUGGCACCAGCAUGAACUCCCUGUCCUCAGCAAUCCCACCAGGUGUUUUGGGUCUUCAACCUAAAAUUCUAUCUUACAAGAUCCUUGCCAGGAUUUAAGGAUCUUGAAUACCAUAGUGAAGUCUGUACAUGAAGAAGUGAUGCUUUUAGGGAGGAAAAAAAAGGUAAUACCAACCUUCAAGAGCCCCUACAUCUCAGCUCGGCAUAAACAAGGCAAGAUUCUGAGAGUGGCCGCCUCUGGAAGCAGAAAUUAUUCUUGUGGCUAUCCAUUGGCUCCUGAGGCUCUAAUCAGAGAUGGGGCCCCUUUAAUACCAGGGAGUGGCUAUUGCCCAUAAAGUACUGGACAUCAAC
RNAcentral lists this small RNA (487 nucleotides) under Pongo abelii (Sumatran orangutan). Its description in RNAcentral is "retained intron". Lineage: Eukaryota; Metazoa; Chordata; Mammalia; Primates; Hominidae. The record is from RNAcentral.